CUUGGGAGCAGAUCAUAGCUGCUAGGUUAAGAAAUUGAUUCUCCCGCAGAAACAAUGGAUUUCGGUGUAGCGGAACUGUUACGUGGAGAUGCUAAGAUGCAAAGGUACAUUUCAAAACACGCCGGACAAUAUUGGCUGGAAAAUGACUUGGUUAAAACCUGAUGAUCUUACCAGGUAUGUGUUCGACUAGUACUUCGAAUGUCUAUAUGUUUAGUCCACGUGUAGAUUAAAUGAGAAAAAUAUUUUUGUUUUUUAACAGCAUUCUGCAGGUUGAUGAAUACUAAUGAAGCUGUGGAUGUCACUGAGCAGCUUCAUUUUAAAGUAAGUUACCCUGACUUACAUCUGCUGCAGUAAUUCUGUCUGGUUUGUGGUAAAUGUCCGUGUAAUGUAGCAUAAUGGAUUUUGGUCUGAUCAAUGAUGAACCCUAUCCCGAAGCUGAUAACCUGAAGAAAAGCAUGUACGGAUUCGGCUUCUGAGACAAGACUAAUGUUCAGAUAUGAGAACAAGUUUUAUAACAGAUUUCUGUUAGGUUAUGUCUCAUAGAGGAAAAACUUAAUUCACAGAGUGGGGUUUUCUGUGCCAACAGUGAGGGGUUGCUGUCUGCCUGCUGUCUGCCUGGUGUGCUGUGACAUUUUGAAGGUGGAAACAUUUCUGUGAGUAGAGAUGUUUUGCUUCAAAAUCAGUAAACAUUGUGUCCUUGGUCUUACCUAUGAUGAUCCUAUCCCGAACCUGAAUUUCUGUUGAAAAAACUUAUACGGAUCUGGCUUCU
RNAcentral lists this long non-coding RNA (769 nucleotides) under Bos taurus (domestic cattle). RNAcentral's name for it is "long non-coding RNA NONBTAT025595". The stretch from base 705 to 769 matches the Rfam family "Small nucleolar RNA SNORD50". Lineage: Eukaryota; Metazoa; Chordata; Mammalia; Artiodactyla; Bovidae. The record is from RNAcentral.